AGUAGGACAUAAAACUCAGUGGUAUAUUUAGAGAAGAAAUUUUCCAAACUUUUUCAUUGUGCAAGAAUUAUUGAAACUUGGUUCAAAAUAAAAAUGAAUAAUUUUCGUGUUUUUUUUAUUUUAAUUGCCAUUAGCAUUAUUGCUGAGGUUUAUUGUGAAUCCGAUUCUUGGCUAGAGUAAAAUAUUCGAAGAAUCAAAUGAAGCAAACGUUGAGAACAAUUAUUGUUUAAUUUAAUGAUAUGACCACCUAAUGGAAUUGUUAUAAAUUGGUUUUAUUUUAUAACACAUUUGUAAAGCCAUUUUUUUUGUCAAAACCUCAAUAAACAUGUACAAUUGAAAAA
Leptopilina heterotoma is the source of this 341-nucleotide long non-coding RNA. RefSeq lists it as uncharacterized. NCBI's taxonomy places the organism in Eukaryota, Metazoa, Arthropoda, Insecta, Hymenoptera, Figitidae. The transcript is spliced from 3 exons. The record is from RefSeq and is a predicted model, not a curated record.